Molecule: long non-coding RNA, 663 nt
Filed under: Equus caballus (horse)
Lineage: Eukaryota; Metazoa; Chordata; Mammalia; Perissodactyla; Equidae
Description: lncRNA (ENSECAG00000051715.1)
Source: RNAcentral
CCAGAAAGGCAGAAUGGUUCCUUUGGCCUACCUUCCAGAUCUUCAGUACAGAUUAGUAUUUGCCUACUUGCCAGAGGCAAAUGGAAAUUGUACCAAGCGAAAUGAAUCAGCAACUAUUGCAUUUCCAGAGUUAGUGCAUUGCAGUGGCUGCUACAUCCUGGUAUACUGGACACUUGUCUUAUGGAAGAAUGUCAUGUAACUUUGAAGCCCUCAAGACUUCAGGCCAUUGACAGUGGUAGCCGAUGGAAUUGAUAGUGAUACGCAGCAGAAGCAAUGGUGCCUAUUAAGAGUGGCAGUGGAGGACGAAGAUGACACUCACCAAGACCCAGAGGAAGCAGAACUAGAGCCUGGCAGUCUGAAGCAGCAUGUGUGUGGCAGACACAGAGGUACCCAGCAAAGGCGGUCACUGGCUGAACUUGUCUAUGAAUGCAUGUGAGGCCCCAUCUGAGGACUCCCAGAGAUAUUUUGAGGGAAGAAAGGACUUUUGAAGAACACUAGUAGGAAGAUUAGCCUGAGCUAACAUCUGCUGCCCAUCCUCCUCUCUUUCCUGAGGAAGACUGGCCCUGAGCUAACAUCUGUGCCCAUCUUCCUCUACUUUAUAUGUAGGACACCUACCACAGUUUGGCUUGCCAAGCGGUGCCAUGUCCACACCCAGGAUCUGAA